AAUAAGUGCUGUUUUGCACUGUUAUAUUCAACAUUUGAUCGUUCGCUUUAUUUGUUUUUUUUUGUAUAAUUAGUAUUUUUUUUGUUAUUAGAUGAUAAAACAUGAAUAUUGCUUUAUGUGUGACUAUUUUUUAAAAAUAUUCAUAAAAUUUUUAAAUAAUAUGGACGGUUAAAUGUUAGACACGAAUACCAUGGUUGUAUUUAUU
Non-coding RNA from Oryza glaberrima (African rice), 205 nucleotides. Lineage: Eukaryota; Viridiplantae; Streptophyta; Magnoliopsida; Poales; Poaceae. The record is from Rfam.